GCGUGGGCGUGCGAUAAAAUAACUAAAAGGAAACCGCUCUGUCAUUGAGACUCAAUCCCGUGAUUCAUUCGCCCGACUCCCCAUCCUCGCCCACCUGAAGCCGGCCGCGCCGCCGCCGCAACUGCCCGCAGCUCGCCACGCCAACGCGCCUGCACCUACACGGAGCUGACCAUGACGCCGGCCAUGCCCAACCGGCUGCACCGACGGUGCCCGUGCCGCAGCCCACGACCGCCCGCCGCCGCAGCAGUGUCUUCCUCUACCUUGCGACAAUCUAUCCGUCAGUCCGCUCUUUCCCUUGCGAUACUGCAAGCGGUAACUCCCAGCCUCCCAGCCCAUCUCCGUGCUCCCUCGUGCAUGGUCUUCCCCUCCCCCUCUCCCACACGGGUGACCUGCAGACUCCUCUCAUCUCUCCCACGAAUGAACCCUAGGGUAGGGUGCCAAGCAAGGCGUCGUGCAGAGUGCUCUUCAGCCGUGGCAGCGGCGGCCAUGGCGGCCCAUCGCAGCGAGUCUUCAUCUUCGCCAACUCCACAGGUUUAGGUUGAAGGUGAGGGGGUCACGCAGCGAUGUUGUGCACGCAAGGUGGUGGUGCGACGGGAGCGUCGUCGUCCUGCCAAAUCUAAUCAAUAUCGAAGGCCAUGGUGACUUGAGGGGUGGGGCACUGUGCUAAGACGUUCUGAUUGGAAUUGCCACAAAUCAGAUAGUAGUUGGCUGGCGGCAAAAGCUAUGGUAGUGGUGAGGCCAACAGCAGGGGGCAACAAGUACAUCUGCUACACCACGAUGGUCAGGGACGUGCGGGAGGGAGUGCGACUGGUACGCACGAACAGUCCACAUGGAGACUGCAGGGCGGAUCAGCAUAGGCCUCCUGGAGGCCAGGAAGGAGCAGGCCACACUAGGAGAGCAGGCUGCUGGUUGCAUAAUUCUUGUCUUUGUGUUCCUGAUUCCUAAUUCCUAAAGUGUGAAGAACCAGAGCGCAACUCUGGAGAAUUUGUGCUGUGUAUGGUGCUCAGUGAUGCCUAUUUGCCUGCAAUUUGGCAUUGUACGUUAUUUAAUCAGGUUUCUAGAAAAUGCAUUAAUCAGGUUUCACUAGAACUGGAUGGUGUUCAGGAGGUAGUAAAACUGAAGAUAUUCCACCUCAAUGAAGAGUUGAUGCUUUUCUUUGCAAAGCAAAUUUAAAAACAUGUGUUAUAAGGUUGGAGAAAACUUAAUUUUGUGGUUUUCUAAGAAGAUAGCUUUCCUUGAGAUAUGUUUUGAAGCUUACCCCAGAAAAUCUCCGCUGAAAUGGCAUUAUCUACUCUGAUUGUGAGUUUAGUUCAUGUGUAUUAACAUCUGCUUCUAUUUUCAUUAUAAUCCAUUUAUCUGAACAAUGUUUGAGGUGAGGGCACUGUUACUCAUCUUAUUCAAUAGCUUUGCAUGAUUGAUGGCUUCCAAUGAUCCUUUCAUUUUUCUAUCUAUGUUUAUUCAGACUAUUUUAUAGUCAUACCGGUAGAUAAUGGAUAAAAAAUUUAGACAUCCAUAAUUUAUCUCUUUGACUCUGAGUAUGAGUUUUAUUUUAAUUAACAUGUUACCCUUUUGUUUUUACCGUAGCAUUAGCACGAGAUUUUGUUGGCAGCAACAGUGAUAAAUCGGGAACAUCUAAGGUAACAUAGACAUAAAAAAAUGAAGGAACACCUUAGUUCACCACAGAGCAAAAGCGUUGGAGAGUCGGGCAACAACAUGAUGUCAACCUUGUGUGAUGCCAUCCUCCGACAUGGCUCGUGCAUGGUCAUGUGAUCUGGUAUCAUCAGCACCUUGGACAACCUCGGCCUCGGACAAGCCUCGUGCACGGUCGUGUGAUCCGGUUCCUUCAGCAAAGACUAAGCAGGUACAUUGGAAAUGCUCUAAAGGCACCAGGAGGGCCCAUGAUGGUAGGUGGCGCACAUAGCUGUCCGUGCUCUGAAGGCGUAGCUGUAGGCUGCGGACAGCUCCUACGCAUGCGGUGUGGGCACAGGCGCACAACGGCAGGAUGCGGUGGGACGGCAACCUGCAACUGUGAGCGAUGGGUCCCAUAGCAUCCCCGCCGUCAUCCCCUAUAUGGCGGUGACUGGCGAGCAGACUUGACUCCAGCACCCUCCACAUUAUGAGAAGCUGCUUACCGUCAUGUUGGCACAGUGGUCUCUUGGUUGCCAAUGGUCUCAAACAUUGUAUGGUUCCAUUAUGUUAAGACUCAAAAUGAAACUUGUAUGCACUAUUGAUUUUUCUGUGUGAUUGCUUCCACAAAAGCUAGCGUAUUCAACUAUAGUUCUGGUUAUUCUUUUUACUGCAGUUAGAACUAACAACUACACUUGUGGCCAUUUAAGAUUAAAGAGGUUCUGCUAAUCAAGGCAUCAACAUGUCACGGAUCGUCAUGGACGGAGCAAUUUUGUACACUUUUACUUCACUGAUUUCCUAGCACUCUGGGAUCCACAGAGAAGCACAACUCAUAGAAGCCUCCCGUGCAUGAUGAAGCUGACGUUGCUCCUGCCCCACCGGGCCACGACCUCAUGUUCCACCCCUGCGUCCACUUUCAUGUCGACGUCAUCACUGUCCAUGCCGAGUCCUUGGCCACUGGACACUAAGAAAGUCAACAUCAAGGUUGAAAUCACCUCGACAACGGUUUUCUCUCAUCUCCCGACCUUAGCUUGAUAAUGAUGACUUCUCUGUCCAUGUGGUUUUUUUUUAUAAAGGAACAUAUGCCUCCGAGUACAACGUGUGCAGAUUGGAACUCAAGGUGGAGAGUUCUGAUUGGUUGGAUUUAUAUUAGAGUAUUUUCAAUAUGAUGUUAACAAAUUAUGAGUUUGUUUACUUGUGUAUGCUUUAAUAUAUAUAACGUAUCUAGCACCAACAUAUAGUAAUUAUGAUCCAUGGUUGUAGCUCUUAGGUAAUGGCACUUCUGAUCCUUUUGUUGCAAAUGUGUUCACUUCAUUUGAUUCUCUUUUUGUUUAUCGAUGUUGAGAGCUUCAUAGUUUAGAUAUCAAAUAAAAAAUUUACAUGUCGGCAAAGAACUAUAUGGAUGCAAUGUUAUCUCGUCAUGUAGGCAAAAGACAAGGCAUGUUUGUUUUGGGGGUGGUUCAGUGCUCCACUGCUACUGGAAUGAGUGGAUAACAUAUUGUUUGAUAACAUAUUGUUAGAUUAUACUAGAGUAGCUUUUGUUGCUUCUAUAAUCUUUCUAUCUCUAUACUACUAUCAAGAAUAGAAUGGUGAACCCCUAUAUAGUUUGUAGGGUGUAGGAUGGUGGAUGACAUGGAGACGGUAAAGGGCUUAAGGCCGUUGCGUUUGCAUGGUUGAAACCACGCAAUGUUGUCCACGCACGAUCCCCACCACCGCUAAAUCUAUCUAAGGAAUGGUUGAGUGGAGCCUAUGUUGGCAUGCAGGGUCUUGGGGAGAACGAUUGUGCAAGGGAGAGAGAAAGUGUGUUGCAUGAUUGUGGGGUACGUACAAGUGUAUUUAUAUUUUUAGUCUUUGUCAGAAUGUUUAGUUUGCAACAAUUGAUUUUUGUAAAUGUCAGUAGAUGCAUCCACAUUUAUAGAUCAAACCAACAAUUAGUUUUGUGUUAAUGUUUGGAAUAACUUAUUAUAUAUCCAUGUUUUCAUCAAUAAAUUAUCCAUAUUUAUAAUCUAGCUUCUUUGGAUCAGCACUUUCUUCUUUCUCAUUUAGUACCUGUAAGCAGGGAUGAUAAUAAGAAUAAAUAAAUGUUGCAACUCAGAGCAGGAUUAGGUGAAGACCGAAGACUGUGUGGUCAUAAUGGGAUGUUCUGGACUCUAGAUAGUCUCAAACUUAAUUUGGUUCUAGCUAGACUGGAAGGUUCACUGUUUCAGUUUAAUGUUUCUUUGUUAAUUAUCAUUAACUUUUGUUUUAGGUAAUGCAAGUGUAUUAGGCAUGCAGGUUUAUGUCAGUCUGCAGGUUGUUUGUUCACUGGGCUGUUCAUCUUCUGAAGUUCUCUGACUCACCUUUUCAGUUUGUGUGACCUCAUUUUUCUAGGGGAUGGCACUAUGAUACUCAUAUACCAGUUAAUGCUAGGUUCGUUGGUCACUUGACACAACUUUUGACUUGCGGAACCUGAACAAGCGGAUGAGCCCGAAGAAGAACGGGAAUCUAUGCAGCAUUGGCGCCCACAACAGGAGGGUUCGCUCAAGUGCAACAAACAAGGACAAGAGUGUCUGGGGUGGUUCUCUGAAACGACCUAGGUCUCUUUGUUGGAGCACGGGUGAGAGGUGGUACCCCCAUGGCUUUGAUGCAUUGACCUGAAAGCUUUUGGCUUGCGGGGAUGGUGCUGCUCUAGCGUGAGACAAGGGGGUGCUGCAACUUAUCCUGGAGAGCGAUAGCCAAGAGUUUGUGUAAGUUAUGGAAGGAGGACGCCAACCAACAAUCAUGGAUUGCGACAGUCAUCAGGGAAACUCAGAGAGGUUAGCUCAUGUUUUGUAGGUUUUUCUAUGAUGUAUACAAGUCGCUUUUGUAACUGAGUUGCUCAUGUGUAAUGUGUUAGCUAAGCAAGUCUUGUAACUGAGUUGCUCAUGUGUUAGCUAAGCAAGUUUCAAGGCACGCAGUAUUGCCCAUAUGACAUGCAUUAAUAUUUACAUAUAUACUUGAACCUAUGUAUAGUAUUACACAUAUGACUGUUAAUUUUACAAACUUUGUUUUUUAUUAAA
Sorghum bicolor (sorghum) is the source of this 4664-nucleotide long non-coding RNA. RefSeq lists it as uncharacterized. The transcript has 10 exons. The record is from RefSeq and is a predicted model, not a curated record. NCBI's taxonomy places the organism in Eukaryota, Viridiplantae, Streptophyta, Magnoliopsida, Poales, Poaceae.